CCAGCUCUGCAAGAGAUUACAACAUUUUUUUUUUUUUUUUCCCUUUACUUGUUACACAAUUUACCAACAGAUUAUAUGUUAUUUAGCUACAAUAAAUAAAUUGUAUUAGCUAGUGGAAAUCAUCCAACCGUUUAGGCACACAAGAGAGAGAGAGAGAGAGAAGCCAAGUCAAGUCUCUGGACACAGAAAAUACCAAGGCCAUACAAGGAGAAAAGUUAUAAAGGAAAGGACGGGAAUUAGGAGUUAGAAGCAAACACAUAAGGAAAAGACCAGGAAGGAGACCUUUGAGACUUGGCAAUGAGAAAUAGGUAGUGAUGUAUUACAGUAAGAGAAUAAAGACAAGGCAAAGUGAAUGAGAUAAGAAUGUUACAAUGU
Long non-coding RNA from Sander lucioperca (pikeperch), 375 nucleotides. RefSeq lists it as uncharacterized. The record is from RefSeq and is a predicted model, not a curated record. NCBI's taxonomy places the organism in Eukaryota, Metazoa, Chordata, Actinopteri, Perciformes, Percidae. The transcript is spliced from 2 exons.